This 205-nucleotide ribosomal RNA is filed under the name uncultured bacterium. RNAcentral's name for it is "partial 16S ribosomal RNA". It matches the Rfam family "Bacterial small subunit ribosomal RNA", at positions 568 to 774 of the family's 1533-position model. The record is from RNAcentral.
UGCGCAGGCGGUUGAGUAAGACAGAUGUGAAAUCCCCGAGCUUAACUCGGGAAUGGCAUAUGUGACUGCUCGACUAGAGUGUGUCAGAGGGGGUAGAAUUCCACGUGUAGCAGUGAAAUGCGUAGAGAUGUGGAGGAAUACCGAUGGCGAAGGCAGCCCCCUGGGAUAACACUGACGUUCAUGCUCGAAAGCGUGGUAGCAAACA